UGUGUUACAGAGAACUUAAUACAGCACAGGGAGGAGAGACACACUGCCGCAGCAGGAGCCCUGGACUUCCCUGAACUCUCCACUGGUGGGCGCCCCCAGCCUACUAACAGAAAAAACAGAUUAAAAAAGACAGAAACACACACACAAGUUGAAAACACCACACACAGCCUAAACAUCAAUCAACCACACACACCCACACGGGACUACAGGUUGAGCCCAGUACAGGGCACACACAACACAAACAAAACACCAACCUACAGUAGUGUUGUGCUGAAUGGGGUACCUCAGUCUCGAGGUCGGGCACCGGGGCCCCUCCCUGGCAGAGGGGGGACCCAACAGCCCAUAAGGGAGAGACUUUCAUCAUCGGUCCCCCCGCACGGUGCCACUCGUGUCUCUCCUCCUCCCCUUCUCCUCAGGGUCAACAUACAAAAACACAAACAGACUAACUCACUACCCACUUCCCCUAACAGGCAAGGCCCCCGGAGGACACAAGACGCCACGGCCCCCUGGAUUUGCUGUCAGCCUGAAAAGAACAAAAACACCCUCUUCCAUAAAACAAACAUUAAUCAGGACACCCAUCCUCGCAGUAGCACACCUACCUGCACUGCUGGUGAACUCGGCCUGGUGGCAGUGGCAGAGGGCACCGUAGACACCUUGGUGCCCCUCAACUCGGUCCGCACUGACCGGGAGGCUGCGUCCCCAGCCACGGUGGCGGCUCCUCAGCUUAACGGGGUAACUGAAAACAAUACAGGGGUAGAAAUGAUGAGAGAACAAGGUCACAAAGUCCAAAUGACAGACCCUCAUUACAACUCUGACCUCCCCUCAGAACAUCCUAACUCACACCAGCUGGGAGCACGCGCCAAGGUCUUCGCUCCUCCCACCAGAGUUGCAGAUACGAGCCUGACCCUUGAACCCACCUGCCACCGGGCUGGCAGUAGCCGUAAACUAAAAGACUGGGAAUUUAAAAGUAACAAACCAAUACUCAUACUGGGUGAUUCAAACAUCAAUAGAAUCCCCAAAUUUUCACAUCAGGACAUUCAGGCUGACAGCUAUCCAGGGGCCAUUUUGUACCAGUUUGGCAGAAUUUUAGAAAAAACACCAGCCAACAAGGAGACAAAGGUGGUGAUCCUCUCGGUGGGCAUUAAUAACCGGGACAAAGAGCCACAUAAAACAUCUCUCAAACAGUUGAGACAUAUGCUGAGAAUGGCCAGCUCGACCUUCCCAAAUGCAGACCUCAGGGUCCCGGUGAUUAAUUACUCAUCAGAGUUACCUACACAAACACAACCUGAGAAGGUUAUGGUGAUUAUUUUUCAUGACCUUAGCACGUCAGUAGAAAGUUACACAAGAAGCAUCAUGAAAAAUAAUCACCAUAACCUUCUCCCCGUAUUUUGUUAA
RNAcentral lists this long non-coding RNA (1395 nucleotides) under Dicentrarchus labrax (European seabass). RNAcentral describes it as "lncRNA (ENSDLAG00005033685.1)". The record is from RNAcentral. Lineage: Eukaryota; Metazoa; Chordata; Actinopteri; Moronidae.